This 861-nucleotide long non-coding RNA is filed under the name Struthio camelus australis. RNAcentral describes it as "lncRNA (ENSSCUG00000011830.1)". Lineage: Eukaryota; Metazoa; Chordata; Aves; Struthioniformes; Struthionidae. The record is from RNAcentral.
GAAAGGAGCAUUUCCCAUGCUAUGUGUGUGUCAGUGACGCAUGGAGAGAGGAAAUGCAGCAGUUGCCAGAAGCAGCGCUGAUGUUACUUUAUGUUGUUAUCUGAUGAGAAAACUAAUGAAGCAAAAAUGCUUUGAGCAUGCAAUAAGCCAGCCCCUCUGCUGAGGGAUUACAGCUAAGGACUCUCAAGACCUCAUGUGCACCCAUGACUGUAACCCGUGAGUAAGAGCAUGAAGCAUGCACACAAGGUAUUUCUGGGAAAGCCAGAGGCAGAGGCAGAGGUAGGAGAAGGUAUGUUCAUUAAGUGCCACCACCUGGAGUUAAAGGAACAAGCGCGCUUCUGCUCUUUCACCCUGUCACGAGAAGCUCACUGAGAUGAAGGAAGCGGUUAAGGGUGGAUCGUGAGAAACCAACCUGAGAGCGGAGGGUCAGCCCCUAUGGCACCUGAGCUGUGCGUAUGCCUGGUGCCAGAGCGAACAGCCCCUACGCGUUUGCUCCGAGCCGCAUCCUGUUGUACCUUGCUUUCAGCAGUUUGGCUAAGAAGCUUGCCGCUUUCCUGAAUGAGAUGAGGGGGUGACAGCUGAAGCCAUGGGUCUGCUUCCUCUACUGAGAAAUAUAUCCACAAAUGUUUCACUACUUUAAUACACCUGAAAGGGAGAGCUAAAAAUACAGUGCACUGCAAGCCAAGGAGGCGUGUAGGCGCUCUCUCUUUAAGACUUGAUUUCCUAAGUGAACUGUCAACUCCCGGUGGCUAGAAAAAUCUGCAAACAAUUUCUAGUCACUGAACAAAGCAAAUCUUUGUACUGUGCUGUAAUAGUUCAUUACUAAAUAAAGGCUUCUUUGUUAUGCUAUAAGAAAUAGUG